CCUACGGGAGGCAGCAGUAGGGAAUAUUGGACAAUGGGCGGAACCCUGACCCAGCGACGCCGCGUGAGUGAAGAAGUAUUUCGGUUUGUAAAGCUCUAUCAGCAGGGAAGAAAAUGACGGUACCUGACUAAGAAGCCCCGGCUAACUACGUGCCAGCAGCCGCGGUAAUACGUAGGGGGCAAGCGUUGUCCGGAUUGACUGGGUGUAAAGGGAGCGUAGACGGUGCAGCAAGUCUGAUGUGAAAGGUCGGGGCUCAACCUCGGUACGGCAUUGGAUACUGUGGAGCUGGAGUGCAGGAGAGGUAAGCGGAAUGCCUGGUGUAGCGGUGAAAUGCGUAGAUAUUAGGAGGAACACCAGUGGCGAAGGCGACUUACUGGACUGUAACUGACGCUGAGGAUCGAAAGCGUGGGUAGCAAACAGGAUUAGAUACCCGGGUAGUC
This 440-nucleotide ribosomal RNA is filed under the name uncultured bacterium. RNAcentral describes it as "partial 16S ribosomal RNA". It matches the Rfam family "Bacterial small subunit ribosomal RNA", at positions 338 to 795 of the family's 1533-position model. The record is from RNAcentral.